RNAcentral lists this ribosomal RNA (245 nucleotides) under uncultured Lachnospiraceae bacterium. RNAcentral describes it as "partial 16S ribosomal RNA". It matches the Rfam family "Bacterial small subunit ribosomal RNA", at positions 524 to 768 of the family's 1533-position model. Lineage: Bacteria; Bacillati; Bacillota; Clostridia; Lachnospirales; Lachnospiraceae. The record is from RNAcentral.
UACGUAUGGAGCAAGCGUUAUCCGGAUUUACUGGGUGUAAAGGGAGCGUAGGCGGUCGCAUAAGUCUGAUGUGAAAACCCGCGGCUCAACCGUGGGCCUGCAUUGGAAACUGUGUGACUAGAGUGUCGGAGAGGCAAGUGGAAUUCCCGGUGUAGCGGUGAAAUGCAUAGAUAUCGGGAGGAACACCAGUGGCGAAGGCGGCUUGCUGGACGAUAACUGACGCUGAGACUCGAAAGCGUGGGGAG